UUCUUAAGGGAUGAGUAAUAUAAGGGACACAUGUCUUCUUAUAUAUCAAUUAGACUAAAUAUUUCCAACACCCAUUUUCAUUGAUUUUGACGACAAGUCAUUGAGAGAAUUAAACGUUGGCACUUGACAGUAGCUAUUUUCUUAUGCUGGGAGCAAUUUCCAAACGUAACCAGAAAAAAAAAAAAUCUCAAGAACUUAUGCAGCAACGUUUCAUACUUAUUUUAUGAAAGCAAAUAUAGUUCUUGUUCAAAUAUCUAACAGAAGCAAGAUUGUUCUUGGCAAGUUCAAGUGAAAAGGGUGGUUGAUAGAUUCAUCAAUUAAGGCUAAAGGGGUGACAAAGCGAACGAGAUUACGAAUAACAUUCAUCAGGUCAGCAGGUAGACGGACCUGAUUCCUAGGAGUUCUAUCAGCAGUAAGUGGCAGCGCUCCAGUUAUCCCGGAGCCUCAGUCCCUUGGUAGUAUUUUGUGUAUAUAUUCGGGCACGGCAGUACUCGGCCCUUCCUAUGUAUAUGUGUACUAUGUUUAGAGGCUCGUAGACAGAUAUGUACAGUCAGAUGUUUUGUACUUUUGUUGUCCUCGUCGUUGUAUAACGUGCUAGCAAAGUUUAUAAGUCCAUGUUUACAAUUAUGCCAUUAAUGUUAGCGUUAAGCAACAAAAAAAAAGAGAAAAAAAAAUACGGUAUAGUCUAUACGGCCCACCUAGUAGUAAAAGUAUGAUAUGAGAUAAGGGGUGCUCAGUACAAGUAUCGGG
This is a long non-coding RNA of Lycium barbarum (goji berry), 750 nucleotides long. RefSeq lists it as uncharacterized. The transcript is spliced from 3 exons. The record is from RefSeq and is a predicted model, not a curated record. NCBI's taxonomy places the organism in Eukaryota, Viridiplantae, Streptophyta, Magnoliopsida, Solanales, Solanaceae.